CCUAAAGCCACCAUAAUAACAUAAAUAAUAAUGUAACUUUAGAGCAAUCCAAACAAGGUACAGCCUGUUUGAAAAAGGAUACAACCUUCACUCGCGGGUAAUGUCAUCAGCACCUACUAAGUAGGCCUAAAAACAGCCACCCUUUAAAAUGCGUUAAAGCUUCAUCUCCCCAACACUUCUUCCCCCCCCCCCCGACCCCCCAAUUACUAUUGAGAACUUCUAUACCAUAUUGAAACUUUAAUGUUAAAACUAGUAGCAAGAAACUAUUCUCUUAAAUACACGUGUAAGUUAGAACGGACCUCCCACUAACACUUAUCCCGCUGUGAGAAAUAAUAAUAACCCAUUUAAAAAACUCUAUUAAUUAUUCUGUUAACCCUACACAAGAGUACUUCAAGAAAGAUAAAAAUGGAAAGAAGGAACUCGGCAAACCCAGAUCCCGCCUGUUUACUAAAAACACCGCCUCUUGACUUCUAUAAGAGGUCCAGCCUGCCCAGUGAAAAUUUCAACGGCCGCGGUAACCUGACCGUGCAAAGGUAGCGUAAUCACUUGUUUUUUAAAUAAAGACUAGUAUGAAUGGCACCACGAGGAUCAAACUGUCUCCUUUCCACAAUCAGUGAAACUAAUCUCCUAGUGAAAAAGCAAGGAUGUUACUGUAAGACGAAAAGACCCUGUGGAGCUUUAAACAAAUAACUAAUGCCAUACUUCCCUUCUUCUCCCCGCACCUUAGUUACUAAUUUUGGUUGGGGUGACCGCGGAGAAAAAUCUAUCCUCCAUGACGAAAUUACUUUAAACAAAACUACAACUUUACUUCACAAUAAAUUGACGCACUGACCCAAUAACUUGAUCAGCGAACUAAGUUACCCCAGGGAUAACAGCGCCAUCCGCCUUAAAAGCCCAUAUUGACAGGCGGCUUUACGACCUCGAUGUUGGAUCAGGGUAUCCUAGUGGUGCAGCCGCUACUAACGGUUCGCUUGUUCAUCGAUUAAAACCCUACGUGAUCUGAGU
This 1005-nucleotide ribosomal RNA is filed under the name Brachycephalus didactylus (Izecksohn's toad). Its description in RNAcentral is "partial 16S ribosomal RNA". The stretch from base 390 to 1005 matches the Rfam family "Archaeal large subunit ribosomal RNA", at positions 1423 to 2679 of the family's 2987-position model. The record is from RNAcentral. Lineage: Eukaryota; Metazoa; Chordata; Amphibia; Anura; Brachycephalidae.